Molecule: long non-coding RNA, 297 nt
Organism: Cebus imitator (Panamanian white-faced capuchin)
Lineage: Eukaryota; Metazoa; Chordata; Mammalia; Primates; Cebidae
Exons: 2
Source: RefSeq, a predicted model, not a curated record
CAAAAGACAAACUCCUGCAUAAUACAUUGAUAACAUGUUUUGCCAACCUUAAGAGUAAAUGCUUAAAUAUAAGUGAAACCAAAAGCAAUUUAAAAGGCAUGUGGCUCAGUUAAAAAAUUUUGUUAAUGCCCUAUUUUCUAAUUGGCACCUCUUUUGAUGCCUAAGCAGGUAAGCAGAUGGCUAAGGUGUAUUUCUCCAAAUAAAUCAAGAUGAAGUACUGCCCAAGUUAAAUAUUGAUAACCUAAAGACAAAUUUAUGUAUAUAUGAAUUUAAAGCAUAAAAUUAAAUUGUUUCCCC